This 432-nucleotide long non-coding RNA is filed under the name Marmota monax (woodchuck). The record is from RNAcentral. Lineage: Eukaryota; Metazoa; Chordata; Mammalia; Rodentia; Sciuridae.
UGAAAAAGGCCUGAUUACUUGAGUAGUCAAGUAAUCUUACAAUACGGAGGUUUCCGGGGAGUGCUGGAGCAAGAAGGGGAUCUUCUCUCCAAAAGGUGCACAGGGAGAUCAAAAGAGAAAGUCACUGAAAUACUUUUAAGUUGUCAGUACUAUACCUUCACAGAAAAUCACUUAGUUUGCCUUUUGACAGCAGUUUAAAAGGCCUCUGGAUGACAGGGGAAUCCCCACAGUCAACCUGAUAGGUGCCUUACUGCUGACGGGCAGAAGUAACUUUCAGUAUGGUUCACACUUUCCUGGGUGUCCCCAAGUGUUUGGAAAGUGGAGAUGCAAGGGCACAGGGAGUAUGAGAUGGGUGAGGUGAGCUUGGAGUCAAGAGCCUUCUGGGAUAGAGAAUUUAGGAGAAUGGUAUUGGCAGAGGGAAGUAUGAACCUA